This 253-nucleotide ribosomal RNA is filed under the name uncultured bacterium. Its description in RNAcentral is "partial 16S ribosomal RNA". It matches the Rfam family "Bacterial small subunit ribosomal RNA", at positions 524 to 776 of the family's 1533-position model. The record is from RNAcentral.
UACGAAGGGGGCUAGCGUUGCUCGGAAUUACUGGGCGUAAAGGGCGCGUAGGCGGCACUGUUAGUCAGGCGUGAAAUUCCUGGGCUCAACCUGGGGACUGCGCUUGAUACGGCAGAGCUAGAGGAUGGAAGAGGCUCGCGGAAUUCCCAGUGUAGAGGUGAAAUUCGUAGAUAUUGGGAAGAACACCGGUGGCGAAGGCGGCGAACUGGUCCAUUACUGACGCUGAGGCGCGACAGCGUGGGGAGCAAACAGG